This 245-nucleotide ribosomal RNA is filed under the name uncultured bacterium. Its description in RNAcentral is "partial small subunit ribosomal RNA". It matches the Rfam family "Bacterial small subunit ribosomal RNA", at positions 26 to 285 of the family's 1533-position model. The record is from RNAcentral.
AGAAUCAACGCUGGCGGCGUGCCUAACACAUGCAAGUCGCACGAGAAAGUGGAGCAAUCCAUGAGUAAAGUGGCGCACGGGUGAGUAACACGUGAAUGAUCUACCUCCGAGUGGGGAAUAACUGAGAGAAAUCUUAGCUAAUACCGCAUAAUACCCACGGGUCAAAGCAGCAAUGCGCUUGGAGAGGAGUUCGCGGCCGAUUAGCUAGUUGGCGGGGUAAUGGCCCACCAAGGCAAUGAUCGGUA